RNAcentral lists this long non-coding RNA (752 nucleotides) under Triticum aestivum (bread wheat). RNAcentral's name for it is "long non-coding RNA (TAES_LNC010455)". Lineage: Eukaryota; Viridiplantae; Streptophyta; Magnoliopsida; Poales; Poaceae. The record is from RNAcentral.
UCAUGUGUUCACAUCUUUCUUAAUACCUUGCCUUGACUUGUUCGGUUCUAGUGCAGAAAGGUCUAUGGUCAAUUGAUAUUUUGUGCUUCUACUACAGAAAGGUCUAUGGUAUAUUUUGUCUGUCCUUUUCAAGUAAAGAAAUCUAAAUGUUAUCUAUAUAAUACCUUGCCUUGUUUGGUUGUAUCGGUUAUACCUGUAUGUUGUCCAUUAGGUUUGAUAGUUAACAUACUUUAUGUAUGUCUGAACUUGUAAGUUGUAACCUUGUUCUCGAUAAGUGUUUUGUGUUCCUCUAUGAACUAUGGUUUGCGUGCUAAUAUUGAUAUGAUAUUUUCUUACAUACUUCAAACUUACUGGAUUAAUUCCCUCAGGUAUGACUUCCUGAACAGGUACUGAACUUGUAAGUUGUAACCUUGUCCAUCAACUGGUAUUUAUGGUAUGGAGUAUGGAGCUCUUUGUUGUUCUGGAGCAUGCUGGAUACCGCGUCCCCAACGAUGCCGAUGCAAGGCCUGUGUUGGGAUCCACCAAAGGGUGACCAAGGAAGAUGCCAUGAAAAAAAGAUUCCAUGAAGUGGUUCCAGGUCAAGUAUGAGUGUGUCAUCCUGAAGAAGUCCCAUGCUAGCUAGUAACCUUUCGAGUGAUUGAGUUGUUGUUAGAGUUUAAGUCAGUCAAACUUCAUCUGGAUCAUGGAAUCGUAUGUUUAUUGGUACAAAGCCGCACUACUAAUUUUGCCUCAUCUGUUGGGCUGACCUGCAU